This 270-nucleotide ribosomal RNA is filed under the name uncultured prokaryote. RNAcentral's name for it is "partial 16S ribosomal RNA". It matches the Rfam family "Bacterial small subunit ribosomal RNA", at positions 524 to 792 of the family's 1533-position model. The record is from RNAcentral.
CACGUAGGAGGCAAACGUUAUCCGGAUUUACUGGGCGUAAAGCGCAUGUAGGUGGUUCUGUAAGUAGGGCGUGAAAGCUCCCGGCUCAACUGGGAGAGGCCGUUCUAAACUACAGAGCUAGAGAAUGGUAGAGGGAGGUGGAAUUCCGGGUGUAGCGGUGGAAUGCGCAGAUAUCCGGAGGAACACCAGUGGCGAAAGCGGCCUCCUGGUCCAUUCCUGACACUCAGAUGCGAAAGCUAGGGUAGCAAACGGGAUUAGAUACCCCCUGUA